This 349-nucleotide unclassified non-coding RNA is filed under the name fungal sp. RNAcentral's name for it is "partial internal transcribed spacer region". The stretch from base 1 to 46 matches the Rfam family "Eukaryotic small subunit ribosomal RNA", at positions 1786 to 1831 of the family's 1831-position model. Lineage: Eukaryota; Fungi. The record is from RNAcentral.
AAGUCGUAACAAGGUUUCCGUAGGUGAACCUGCGGAAGGAUCAUUACUCUUAGCUUAGGUUCUCGUAACUUAUUGCUAUACUCUAAACACCAAACCGUGCUCUUUUUUCCCACCCCACUCUUAUACCAUCCUUUUCUAUAACUGAACACAUUGUGCAUAGGAUAGUCUACGACCAUCCGACACACAUCUGUACACCCCACCUCAUUUAGAUGUCAUGUCUUAAUGUGUUGUAGUGUACUUGUUGAACCACAGUACGAUUCACACUGAUGUACUCUGUUUAAUUACAGUUUAUGUCUCUGUGCAUUCAUACACGUGAAUACAACUCCGAACAAUGGAUAUCUCGGCUCUC